This 494-nucleotide ribosomal RNA is filed under the name uncultured Desulfobulbus sp. RNAcentral describes it as "bacterial SSU rRNA". It matches the Rfam family "Bacterial small subunit ribosomal RNA", at positions 892 to 1382 of the family's 1533-position model. Lineage: Bacteria; Pseudomonadati; Thermodesulfobacteriota; Desulfobulbia; Desulfobulbales; Desulfobulbaceae. The record is from RNAcentral.
CUCAGAAACUUAAAGGAAUUGACGGGGCCGCACAAGCGGUGGAGUAUGUGGCUUAAUUCGAUGCAACGCGAAGAACCUUACCUGGUCUUGACAUCCCGGAGACCCUUAGGAAACUAGGGGGUGCUUCCAUCUGGAAGAAUCUGGAGACAGGUGCUGCAUGGCUGUCGUCAGCUCGUGUCGUGAGAUGUUGGGUUAAGUCCCGCAACGAGCGCAACCCUUGCCUUUAGUUGCCAGCAGUUCGGCUGGGCACUCUAAAGGGACUGCCGGUGUUAAACCGGAGGAAGGUGGGGAUGACGUCAAGUCCUCAUGGCCUUUAUGACCAGGGCUACACACGUACUACAAUGGCCGAUACAAAGGGCAGCGACACUGCGAGGUGAAGCCAAUCCCGUAAAAUCGGUCUCAGUCCGGAUUGGAGUCUGCAACUCGACUCCAUGAAGUUGGAAUCGCUAGUAAUCGUGGAUCAGCAUGCCACGGUGAAUACUUUCCCGGGCCUU